CCUACGGGUGGCAGCAGUGGGGAAUAUUGGACAAUGGGGGGAACCCUGAUCCAACCAUGCCGCGUGUGUGAAGAAGGCCCUCGGGUUGUAAAGCACUUUCAGUGAGGAAGAACGCCUGGUGGUUAAUACCCAUCAGGAAAGACAUCACUCACAGAAGAAGCACCGGCUAACUCCGUGCCAGCAGCCGCGGUAAUACGGAGGGUGCGAGCGUUAAUCGGAAUUACUGGGCGUAAAGCGCGCGUAGGUGGCUUGAUAAGCCGGUUGUGAAAGCCCCGGGCUCAACCUGGGAACGGCAUCCGGAACUGUCAAGCUAGAGUGCAGGAGAGGAAGGUAGAAUUCCCGGUGUAGCGGUGAAAUGCGUAGAGAUCGGGAGGAAUACCAGUGGCGAAGGCGGCCUUCUGGACUGACACUGACACUGAGGUGCGAAAGCGUGGGUAGCAAACAGGAUUAGAUACCCUGGUAGUC
RNAcentral lists this ribosomal RNA (465 nucleotides) under Vreelandella stevensii. Its description in RNAcentral is "partial 16S ribosomal RNA". It matches the Rfam family "Bacterial small subunit ribosomal RNA", at positions 338 to 795 of the family's 1533-position model. Lineage: Bacteria; Pseudomonadati; Pseudomonadota; Gammaproteobacteria; Oceanospirillales; Halomonadaceae. The record is from RNAcentral.